This 943-nucleotide long non-coding RNA is filed under the name Helianthus annuus (common sunflower). RNAcentral's name for it is "hypothetical non coding rna". Lineage: Eukaryota; Viridiplantae; Streptophyta; Magnoliopsida; Asterales; Asteraceae. The record is from RNAcentral.
GUUCAAAAUGCGUAUUUGGAAAGGAAAUACUUACGGGCAAAGGGAUUGGCUCCGGAAAGCGGUCGUUAUUCGAGAGCAGAUCCUCAUAAGUAGUUGACCAGCUGCAAUACAAAAUUCAAAAUUUUGAGGUCAAACAAACUAGCAUGUUGACUUUUUUAAGGGUCAAGUGAAUAAGCAUGCAACUCUGGAUAAAUAAUUCGAAUUUCAACUCAAGAUGCUAGUAUUAAACAUAAUAAUCAUAUCAAUUUCUAAGUUGAAAAUUAGUAAAAGUCAAAAGUAAACCGGACCUUAUGACUGGAUCUUCUGGCGUUCUUCCUCUUCGGGAUCUUUGAGAUUGAUCUCCGACCCAUUUUCUUCUGCUCUCGUUCCAAGCAAUUGCGCCUACAAAACAAGUUGUACGCAUAUAAACUUUUCAUUGGCAUUUAAUCAAUCUACAUUGAUGAUUAAGUUUCUCAAAUAUGCAACGGCAUAGCUUUGUGGGGGCGGCCGACCCCUCGAACUUUUCGCUCGUUAGUGGAGAGUAUGUAGUUUUCGUAUAGAAAUUUUUGGGUAUAUACGUUUUUGACCCCCCGGUUUUAUAGAAAUUUUUGGUAUAUACGUCUUCGACCCCCCGGUCGGAAAACUAAAGCUUCGCCACUGCAAAUAUGUGUACUUAUGUUGACAAAAUUAUAUAAAACUCACCAUGGUUAAUAAAUACAGUGGUGUUACUACCAUUGUUGUCAGGAUGCUUUCUUGCUUCUUUUGCAGGUGAAGACAGUUCUAAGGGCCGUUUCUCAUUGACCCGUGAAUUUCCAGUGUUGACUUCCACCAUCAUGAUAUUAUUGGCUCGUGAACUUGUUGUGUCGAUUUCCAUCAUGUUUACAAUUCAAAUAUAUGUUUUUGUUUACAGGAAAAUGCUCAUUGUUUUGGAAAAUUGCAUGUUAUUUGAGUACUAGUCAGGAUU